GUGCUCGUUUCAGCAGCACAUAUACUCAAAUUGGAACAAUACAGAGGAGAUUAGCAUGGCCCUUGUGCAAAGAUGACACACAAAUUCGUGAAGUGUUCUAUAUUUAA
Eubalaena glacialis (North Atlantic right whale) is the source of this 107-nucleotide small nuclear RNA. NCBI's taxonomy places the organism in Eukaryota, Metazoa, Chordata, Mammalia, Artiodactyla, Balaenidae. The record is from RefSeq and is a predicted model, not a curated record.